UAACCUACCAAGCUUCCUCGGGCCUUAUUGCUUAAUCAUUGCAGUCAAACAAGUCAGACAUCCAUUGUUGUGGUGAGUUUAAUAAGGGCAAAUCAUAUUUUACCUUGGGACAUAUUAUUAAGGACGCAAUAAUAAUCAUUUUAAUGGAAAACUUUUCUUCUGUCGUUACAAAUUACGUCGAUAUUCCUUCUUAAUUCGCUAGGUAACGUUAUGGGAAAGGGUUUCUUGGAGAAAUGUGGCAAAUCAUCUCUUGCUGCAACAGAAAUGUAGACCUAGUUUUCAGACCCUGUGGGAGGGUUUUGAGAGGUCAUUGUCAUUUAAUUUAGACCUGGCAACCCUGCUCAAAGCAGAGGGGAAGAAACCAUCAGGAGUGUAAUUAAUCCAUGUGCAGUUCCUCCUCCACGGACUUAUCUACAAUCAUCAUAACAGUGUGUAAUAAAUUGUGUAAGACAGGGUAAAUGCGUCCGUAUGCUUCAGUUCGGCUGGCGUCUAGCCGAAGUCAGUUAGGCGAACCGAACUGGUAUGCUCGCAUGCACUCAAAAUACAUUUAUUGAGUAGCCUUUCUGGAUCUCUUCAAAUAGCCAUCUACGGCCAAACAAGAAAGUGAAGACACACCCAAACAAGGAAACCGAGAUCGCCAGGCUGGUCGUUAUGGCGCACACCUGUCACCAUCGUUACGCGCACCUGCGUGUCGUCAGACUCACCUGGACUCCAUCACUUCCUUGAUUACCUGCCCUAUAUAUGUCACUCCCUUUGGAUCCUUCCCCAGGCGUCAUUGUUUCUGUUUCGUCUCAGUGCGUUGUUCGAGGUUCUUGGUUUGCUUUAUGUUCCGUUUAUUUUAUUAAAACACUCACUCACUCCCUGAACUUGCUUCCCGACUCUCAGCGCACAUCGUUAUGAUUUAAAGCCAUAUAAAUCAAUACCGUUUUCACAGAUUAUGACAGAAAAAUCUAACUCAGUAUGUGAUUUAUUCUAUAAAUGUCUGUAUACUUUAGCAACCUUUUGUUUUGAGUAAACAUUCCAGUUUUGAUUUGAUAGAAAUCUAUAAAAUGCAAUUUAAAGAACUAUAAACCAAUAACUAAUUCACUGUUAGUCACAGAAAUAUCAAACUAGGUAUGAUUUAUUCUAUAAAUGUCUAGCAUACUUUUCCAAUUUUUGUUUUGAGGAAAAAUUCCAGUUUUGAUUUGAUAGAGGGCAUCUAGAGGGUGUGUGGUCAAAGUUCUAACGAGUCUGUUAUACACUAUUAGAAAGGGCCUGGUAUAUUAAAUUAGACUACAGGAAAAAACUAAGGGAUGAAGGGGUCAGACCUGACUAACAAAGAAGACAGGUGGAUGGAUCAAGAGGAUGAACACGUGAAAUUGUCAAGAAACUGAAGAUCUCGUACAACGCUGUGCACUACUCCCAUUCAUUGUCUGUGGAUGACAAAGAAGGAAUUCAACAAAGCCAAAAUAGAAAAUGAUUUGAAGGGUCCUCUUUGCUGUUAAAUUAGAGACGUAAAAAUAAAUGAUAGUUGUGUCUUCUAACUA
Salmo salar (Atlantic salmon) is the source of this 1526-nucleotide non-coding RNA. Lineage: Eukaryota; Metazoa; Chordata; Actinopteri; Salmoniformes; Salmonidae. The record is from RefSeq and is a predicted model, not a curated record.